AAAUUGAAGAGUUUGAUCAUGGCUCAGAUUGAACGCUGGCGGCAGGCCUAACACAUGCAAGUCGAACGGUAACAGGAAGCAGCUUGCUGCUUCGCUGACGAGUGGCGGACGGGUGAGUAAUGUCUGGGAAACUGCCUGAUGGAGGGGGAUAACUACUGGAAACGGUGGCUAAUACCGCAUAACGUCGCAAGACCAAAGAGGGGGACCUUCGGGCCUCUUGCCAUCAGAUGUGCCCAGAUGG
This 241-nucleotide ribosomal RNA is filed under the name Salmonella enterica subsp. enterica serovar Muenchen. Its description in RNAcentral is "partial 16S ribosomal RNA". It matches the Rfam family "Bacterial small subunit ribosomal RNA", at positions 1 to 238 of the family's 1533-position model. Lineage: Bacteria; Pseudomonadati; Pseudomonadota; Gammaproteobacteria; Enterobacterales; Enterobacteriaceae. The record is from RNAcentral. RNAcentral also lists the same sequence under 17 other names.